This 561-nucleotide ribosomal RNA is filed under the name uncultured bacterium. RNAcentral describes it as "partial 16S ribosomal RNA". It matches the Rfam family "Bacterial small subunit ribosomal RNA", at positions 355 to 1375 of the family's 1533-position model. The record is from RNAcentral.
UGGGGAAUCUUGCGCAAUGGGCGAAAGCCUGACGCAGCCAUGCCGCGUGAGUGAUGAAGGCCUUAGGGUUGUAAAACUCUUUCACCGGGGACGAUAAUGACGGUACCCGGAGAAGAAGCCCCGGCUAACUUCGUGCCAGCAGCCGCGGUAAUACGAAGGGGGCUAGCGUUGCUCGGAAUUACUGGGCGUAAAGGGCGCGUAGGCGGAUCAGCAAGUUGGGGGUGAAAGCCCGGGGCUCAACCUCGGAAUUGCCUUCAAAACUGCUGAUCUAGAGUACGGGAGAGGUGUGUGGAACUCCGAGUGUAGAGGUGAAAUUCGUAGAUAUUCGGAAGAACACCAGUGGCGAAGGCGACACACUGGCCCGUUACUGACGCUGAGGCGCGAAAGCGUGGGGAGCAGACAGGAUUAGAUACCCUGGUAGUCCACGCUGUAAACGAUGAUUGCUAGUUGUCGGCAGGCAUGCCUGUCGGUGACGCAGCUAACGCAUUAAGCAAUCCGCCUGGGGAGUACGGUCGCAAGAUUAAAAACUUAAAGGAAUUGACGGGGUCAUAGCUGUUUCCU